GACGAACGCCGGCGGCGUGCUUAACACAUGCAAGUCGAACGGAAAGGCCCUGCUUUUGUGGGGUGCUCGAGUGGCGAACGGGUGAGUAACACGUGAGUAACCUGCCCUUGACUUUGGGAUAACUUCAGGAAACUGGGGCUAAUACCGGAUAGGAGCUCCUGCUGCAUGGUGGGGGUUGGAAAGUUUCGGCGGUUGGGGAUGGACUCGCGGCUUAUCAGCUUGUUGGUGGGGUAGUGGCUUACCAAGGCUUUGACGGGUAGCCGGCCUGAGAGGGUGACCGGCCACAUUGGGACUGAGAUACGGCCCAGACUCCUACGGGAGGCAGCAGUGGGGAAUAUUGCACAAUGGGCGGAAGCCUGAUGCAGCAACGCCGCGUGCGGGAUGACGGCCUUCGGGUUGUAAACCGCUUUCGCCUGUGACGAAGCGUGAGUGACGGUAAUGGGUAAAGAAGCACCGGCUAACUACGU
This 467-nucleotide ribosomal RNA is filed under the name uncultured bacterium. Its description in RNAcentral is "partial 16S ribosomal RNA". It matches the Rfam family "Bacterial small subunit ribosomal RNA", at positions 28 to 506 of the family's 1533-position model. The record is from RNAcentral.